GCGUUCGCUCUUAAUUGGGGCUACUUGUUCGUUACGUUUCUUCCGAAUGGGUAAGAAGCUAUGAAGUUUUAAUAAAUGCCUUGAUCGAGCUGUUAACAUGUUCUGUGGGGAAACAGGUAAAAAAAAAAAAUCUUCAAUUCGUUAGUCAGCUUGUAUCGUCAUUAAUAAUAAACACAAAAAACGAAGAAUAAUGGAAUCAUAACUUGAAUUCACAAAUCGAUCGUAAAAUAAAGGUUAUUUUUUAUCUCUCUUUCUCUCUCUCCUUCUUCAUUCAUUGUUUCACUUCAACGAUGUAUUGCAGUUUUAUUAUUGAUUCAAAUGAACAAGACCAUUGGAUAGCCAGACUUUCCACAUCCUGUGUUUAGACCUUCUGAGUGAUUUCUAGGUCAGAUAACAAUUGGAAUAACUCGAUUGAAUUGGUAUACCGAUCAGUGAGACGGCAAAGGUGAUCGGCUCGCUUUCGAAAGUGAUGACCCCAGGGAGCGGUAAAGAUGCGUGCAGGUAGGGGAUAGACGUUCCUGGAUCGCUAAUGAGCUUCUGGAAUAUUAUCGAUGCUCACGGUAAUGCUUAUAACUGCUUUUCAACUGAGAUUGUAAAUUUUCCGUUGUUCACUGAUUUCUGAGGGAAAGAUGCACGCCGAUUAUGCAUUGGUGGAAUAUAAUAAUGUUUUAAAGAUACCCUGUUGCUUCUGAACGAAGAAUUAUCAGUAGAUUUGCCAGAAUGAAGCGAAGACGGACAUAUAUAUAUUCAGAAAUGCAAAGAUAUUCAAAUAAUUGCUUCUUACGAAAUAGAAAUGAAUAUCGUAUAAUUCUUGGAAGGAAAAUAAACUGUAAUGAUUAAAGCACGAGCAUUAGAUUUGUACAUAAAUACUCGAUCUUGCGUAAUAGAAAAACAUUGAAUUGUGAUCCCUUGACGAACUCGAAAAAAUUACAUGGCGAAAACUAUUGCAACGUCGGAAGUGGCAAUGCUCGGGAAGCGUACGGUUCUCAAAGGGUUAAUUGGGCAUAGUAAUUCUUCAGGUGACCAAGCUCCAUGGGAGUGGAACGGAGAAAACCCAGUUUUAUGCUUCGCAUUAAGUGCUUAUAUCUAUAUCUUUAUGUUGUAUCUGCUAAUUUAUAAAUAUUUAAUUGGCCAACUACGACCCUUCGCUAUAGUAUUACCUUAAAUGUUUUUUUUUUUUUUUUUACAGAUAAGUUAUCGUAACAUUUUCAUGCAAUGAGGAGG
Apis laboriosa (Himalayan honeybee) is the source of this 1224-nucleotide long non-coding RNA. RefSeq lists it as uncharacterized. Lineage: Eukaryota; Metazoa; Arthropoda; Insecta; Hymenoptera; Apidae. The record is from RefSeq and is a predicted model, not a curated record. The transcript has 4 exons.